GGCGUCCUCACUCGCUCCUCUGUACUGCCGCCGCGCCGCUGCAUCCUCGCCGAAGUCGUCUUCUUCUCCGUCCGCCGCCGGAGCCGAGGUCCCCUUCCGCCGCUGCCGGAUCCUACCAUCCGUCGCGGCCGGCGCUCCUCCUCCUCGCUCGCUCGCUCGCUCCGGAUUACUGCCGACGCGCCGCCGCAUCCUCGCCGGAGCCGAGGUCCCCUUCUGCCGCCGCCGGAUCCUACCAUCCGCUGCGGCCAGCGCCGAGGGCGGCCCCUUCCGCCGCCGCCGCCGACGCAGUCAGUGCCUCCCUCUACCGCCGCCUAGGCCCCCGCCUCCGUGCCGUCCGGGAGCAGGAGUUUCGGCGGGGUCGUGUGGUCGCCGUCGUGCCGCCACAGAUCGAGACUCGCUGUCGCCCCGCCGCAAAUGCCUCUGGAUCUCGCCUCCCACCACAGCCACGUGAUCUUCUCUCCCACCGGCCUUCCACUAGCUGCCUGCACCUCCUCAGUCGGGUAGCCGCCACCGACCCUUGCCCUUCGCUGCCCCGUCAUCACGGUCGUCCAAGCCGCGUGCCGCCAUCGCCAGCCAUCCUUCUUACACUCACAGAAUGUAGCGUAUCUUAG
This 611-nucleotide long non-coding RNA is filed under the name Oryza sativa Indica Group (long-grained rice). Its description in RNAcentral is "lncRNA OsLiXu_11g0004220". RNAcentral also lists the same sequence under 3 other names. Lineage: Eukaryota; Viridiplantae; Streptophyta; Magnoliopsida; Poales; Poaceae. The record is from RNAcentral.